Molecule: ribosomal RNA, 425 nt
Filed under: uncultured bacterium
Lineage: Bacteria
Description: partial 16S ribosomal RNA
Rfam family: Bacterial small subunit ribosomal RNA
Source: RNAcentral
GUGGGGAAUAUUGGACAAUGGGCGCAAGCCUGAUCCAGCCAUGCCGCGUGAGUGAUGAAGGCCCUAGGGUUGUAAAGCUCUUUCACCGGUGAAGAUAAUGACGGUAACCGGAGAAGAAGCCCCGGCUAACUUCGUGCCAGCAGCCGCGGUAAUACGAAGGGGGCUAGCGUUGUUCGGAAUUACUGGGCGUAAAGCGCACGUAGGCGGGUAUUUAAGUCAGGGGUGAAAUCCCGGGGCUCAACCCCGGAACUGCCUUUGAAACUCCUGGUCUUGAGGUCGAGAGAGGUGAGUGGAAUUCCGAGUGUAGAGGUGAAAUUCGUAGAUAUUCGGAGGAACACCAGUGGCGAAGGCGGCUCACUGGCUCGAUACUGACGCUGAGGUGCGAAAGCGUGGGGAGCAAACAGGAUUAGAAACCCGGGUAGUCC